UAUAUAUAGUUGAGUAGGAAUGUUAUCAGUAGCAAACGGGCUCCGUAGUUAUCCAUUUGUUUUCGAUGAUGGAGCCUCCAAAUCAAUGAUCGGCAUCGUUGAACAUGAUCUAUACCACUUGAAGCAUUUAGAAAUCAAAUUUUAUACUUUUCCGACAUUAUUUUUUUGUCUAUCAAGUGGACACAAAAUAAACGGCUGAAAAUGAAUAUUCUUUAAAAAGUGAUAAUAGGAAUUUUGUAAUCAAGAUCGAAAGUAUAGAUCUUGUUCUAAAUAAUUUAAAGAAUUUUUUAAUCAAAAUUCAAUUGAUUUGGAUAUCUUUAAACCGUUAAAUAAGAAAAACGCCUCAUAUUGACCAUUAAAAUUACAAAUUUUGAAACCCUUUGAUCAUUAGGUCAAUGAUAUCGAAAAGAUUUGAAAUUUGGUUUCUAGAUAUUUCAAAUGGUAUAGAUCUUUUUCAAAGAUACUGAUCGUCGAUUUGGAGGUUUCGUCAUCGAAAACAAAUGGGUGGCAACGGAGCCCGUUUGCUACCGAUAGUAUUCUAACUUAACUCUCUCUCUCUCUCUCUCUCUCUCUCUCUCUCUCUCUAUAUAUAU
Molecule: long non-coding RNA, 593 nt
Filed under: Ananas comosus (pineapple)
Lineage: Eukaryota; Viridiplantae; Streptophyta; Magnoliopsida; Poales; Bromeliaceae
Description: long non-coding RNA (ACOM_LNC016111)
Source: RNAcentral